Molecule: ribosomal RNA, 375 nt
Filed under: uncultured bacterium
Lineage: Bacteria
Description: bacterial SSU rRNA
Rfam family: Bacterial small subunit ribosomal RNA
Source: RNAcentral
UAAUACGUAGGCAGCGAGCGUUGUUCGGAAUUACUGGGCGUAAAGAGUGUGUAGGCGGUGCCCUAAGUUCGGUGUGAAAUCUCCUGGCUCAACUGGGAGGGUGCGCCGGAAACUGGGGUGCUCGAGCGUGGGAGAGGAAAGCGGAAUUCCUGGUGUAGCGGUGAAAUGCGUAGAUAUCAGGAGGAACACCUGCGGUGUAGACAGCUUUCUGGACCAUAGCUGACGCUGAGACACGAAAGCGUGGGUAGCAAACAGGAUUAGAUACCCUGGUAGUCCACGCCCUAAACGAUGCAUACUUGGUGUCGGCCAUUCAGUUGGUCGGUGCCGGAGCUAACGCGUUAAGUAUGCCGCCUGGGGAGUACGGUCGCAAGGCUG